Molecule: ribosomal RNA, 435 nt
Filed under: uncultured beta proteobacterium
Lineage: Bacteria; Pseudomonadati; Pseudomonadota; Betaproteobacteria
Description: bacterial SSU rRNA
Rfam family: Bacterial small subunit ribosomal RNA
Source: RNAcentral
GCGAGUGGCGAACGGGUGAGUAAUACAUCGGAACAUGUCCUGUAGUGGGGGAUAGCCCGGCGAAAGUCGGAUUAAUACCGCAUACGAUCUACGGAUGAAAGCGGGGGACCUUCGGGCCUCGCGCUAUAGGGUUGGCCGAUGGCUGAUUAGCUAGUUGGUGGGGUAAAGGCCUACCAAGGCGACGAUCAGUAGCUGGUCUGAGAGGACGACCAGCCACACUGGGACUGAGACACGGCCCAGACUCCUACGGGAGGCAGCAGUGGGGAAUUUUGGACAAUGGGCGAAAGCCUGAUCCAGCAAUGCCGCGUGUGUGAAGAAGGCCUUCGGGUUGUAAAGCACUUUUGUCCGGAAAGAAAUCCUUGGUUCUAAUAUAGCCGGGGGAUGACGGUACCGGAAGACUAAGCACCGGCUAACUACGUGCCAGCAGCCGCGGUA